CACGUAGGGGGCAAGCGUUGUCCGGAUUUACUGGGCGUAAAGGGCGCGUAGGCGGCCAGCGCAAGUCAGUUGUGAAAUCUCCGGGCUUAACUCGGAACGGUCAACUGAUACUGCGCGGCUAGAGUGCGGAAGGGGCAACUGGAAUUCUCGGUGUAGCGGUGAAAUGCGUAGAUAUCGAGAGGAACACCUGCGGCGAAGGCGGGUUGCUGGGCCGACACUGACGCUGAUGCGCGAAAGCCAGGGGAGCGAACGGG
This 254-nucleotide ribosomal RNA is filed under the name uncultured bacterium. RNAcentral describes it as "partial 16S ribosomal RNA". It matches the Rfam family "Bacterial small subunit ribosomal RNA", at positions 524 to 776 of the family's 1533-position model. The record is from RNAcentral.